GGAGGUAUAGCUCGGUGGUAGAGUGCAUGCCUAGCAUGCACAGGGUCCUGGGUUCACUCCCAGGACCUCUA
RNAcentral lists this transfer RNA (71 nucleotides) under Camelus bactrianus (Bactrian camel). It matches the Rfam family "tRNA". From Rfam's summary of the family: Transfer RNA (tRNA) molecules are approximately 80 nucleotides in length. Their secondary structure includes four short double-helical elements and three loops (D, anti-codon, and T loops). Further hydrogen bonds mediate the characteristic L-shaped molecular structure. tRNAs have two regions of fundamental functional importance: the anti-codon, which is responsible for specific mRNA codon recognition, and the 3' end, to which the tRNAs corresponding amino acid is attached (by aminoacyl-tRNA synthetases). tRNAs cope with the degeneracy of the genetic code in two manners: having more than one tRNA (with a specific anti-codon) for a particular amino acid; and 'wobble' base-pairing, i.e. permitting non-standard base-pairing at the 3rd anti-codon position. The record is from Rfam by way of RNAcentral. Lineage: Eukaryota; Metazoa; Chordata; Mammalia; Artiodactyla; Camelidae. RNAcentral also lists the same sequence under 3 other names.